GCAAAAGCCCUAUUCAGGGCUACAAAUAAGUCUGUUGUCAAAUUUAU
Non-coding RNA from Picea glauca (white spruce), 47 nucleotides. The record is from Rfam. Lineage: Eukaryota; Viridiplantae; Streptophyta; Pinopsida; Pinales; Pinaceae.